RNAcentral lists this transfer RNA (73 nucleotides) under Ailuropoda melanoleuca (giant panda). It matches the Rfam family "tRNA". Rfam says of the family: Transfer RNA (tRNA) molecules are approximately 80 nucleotides in length. The record is from Rfam by way of RNAcentral. Lineage: Eukaryota; Metazoa; Chordata; Mammalia; Carnivora; Ursidae.
GCCUGGCUAGCUCCAUGGGUAGAGCAUGCAACUUCUGAUCUUGGGGUUGUGGGUUUGAGCCCCACGUUGGGUA